Molecule: ribosomal RNA, 482 nt
Filed under: uncultured bacterium
Lineage: Bacteria
Description: partial 16S ribosomal RNA
Rfam family: Bacterial small subunit ribosomal RNA
Source: RNAcentral
GACGAACGCUGGCGGCGUGCUUAACACAUGCAAGUCGAACGCUGAAGCUCAGCUUUUGUUGGGUGGAUGAGUGGCGAACGGGUGAGUAACACGUGAGUAACCUGCCCCCUUCUUUGGGAUAACGCCCGGAAACGGGUGCUAAUACUGGAUAUUCACUGGUCUUCGCAUGGGGGUUGGUGGAAAGGGUUUCUCUGGUGGGGGAUGGGCUCGCGGCCUAUCAGCUUGUUGGUGGGGUGAUGGCCUACCAAGGCUUUGACGGGUAGCCGGCCUGAGAGGGUGACCGGUCACAUUGGGACUGAGAUACGGCCCAGACUCCUACGGGAGGCAGCAGUGGGGAAUAUUGCACAAUGGGCGCAAGCCUGAUGCAGCGACGCCGCGUGAGGGAUGGAGGCCUUCGGGUUGUGAACCUCUUUCGCUCAUGGUCAAGCCGCAACAAUGGUUGUGGUGAGGGUAGUGGGUAAAGAAGCGCCGGCUAACUACGU